GGUCUGGGAUGGGCUCGCGGCCUAUCAGCUUGUUGGUGAGGUAAUGGCUCACCAAGGCGUCGACGGGUAGCCGGCCUGAGAGGGUGACCGGCCACACUGGGACUGAGACACGGCCCAGACUCCUACGGGAGGCAGCAGUGGGGAAUAUUGCACAAUGGGCGAAAGCCUGAUGCAGCAACGCCGCGUGAGGGAUGACGGCCUUCGGGUUGUAAACCUCUUUUAGCAGGGAAGAAGCGAAAGUGACGGUACCUGCAGAAAAAGCGCCGGCUAACUACGUGCCAGCAGCCGCGGUAAUACGUAGGGCGCAAGCGUUAUCCGGAAUUAUUGGGCGUAAAGAGCUCGUAGGCGGUUUGUCGCGUCUGCUGUGAAAUCCCGAGGCUCAACCUCGGGCCUGCAGUGGGUACGGGCAGACUAGAGUGCGGUAGGGGAGAUUGGAAUUCCUGGUGUAGCGGUGGAAUGCGCAGAUAUCAGGAGGAACACCGAUGGCGAAGGCAGAUCUCUGGGCCGUAACUGACGCUGAGGAGCGAAAGGGUGGGGAGCAAACAGGCUUAGAUACCCUGGUAGUCCACCCCGUAAACGUUGGGAACUAGUUGUGG
This 596-nucleotide ribosomal RNA is filed under the name Microbacterium sp. Its description in RNAcentral is "bacterial SSU rRNA". It matches the Rfam family "Bacterial small subunit ribosomal RNA", at positions 217 to 825 of the family's 1533-position model. Lineage: Bacteria; Bacillati; Actinomycetota; Actinomycetes; Micrococcales; Microbacteriaceae. The record is from RNAcentral.